CCCUUAGAUGUUCUGGGCCGCACGCGCGCUACACUGACUGGUUCAUCGAGCUUACAACCUUGACUGAUAGGUUUGGGUAAUCUUUUGAAAGCCAGUCGUGAUGGGGAUAGAUUAUUGUAAUUUUUAAUCUUCAACGAGGAAUUCCUAGUAGACGUAGUUCAUCAGACUGCAUCGAUUACGUCCCUGCCCUUUGUACACACCGCCCGUCGCUCCUACCGAUUGAAUGCUCAGGUGAGCCAUUCGGACUUUCAUCAUGCUGGUUUCCAGUUUUGAUGAAGGAAAGUCUUGCGAACCUUAUCAUUUAGAGGAAGGAGAAGUCGUAACA
This 325-nucleotide ribosomal RNA is filed under the name uncultured eukaryote. Its description in RNAcentral is "partial 18S ribosomal RNA". It matches the Rfam family "Eukaryotic small subunit ribosomal RNA", at positions 1470 to 1796 of the family's 1831-position model. The record is from RNAcentral.